Molecule: ribosomal RNA, 424 nt
Filed under: uncultured prokaryote
Description: bacterial SSU rRNA
Rfam family: Bacterial small subunit ribosomal RNA
Source: RNAcentral
UGGGGAAUAUUGGACAAUGGGGGCAACCCUGAUCCAGCCAUGCCGCGUGAGUGAAGAAGGCCUUAGGGUUGUAAAGCUCUUUCGCUAGGGAAGAUAAUGACGGUACCUAGUAAAGAAGCCCCGGCUAACUUCGUGCCAGCAGCCGCGGUAAUACGAAGGGGGCUAGCGUUGUUCGGAAUUACUGGGCGUAAAGCGCGCGUAGGCGGGUCGUCAAGUCGAGGGUGAAAGCCCGGGGCUCAACCUCGGAAUAGCCUUCGAUACUGGCGAUCUUGAGUCCGAGAGAGGUGAGUGGAACUCCGAGUGUAGAGGUGAAAUUCGUAGAUAUUCGGAAGAACACCAGUGGCGAAGGCGGCUCACUGGCUCGGUACUGACGCUGAGGUGCGAAAGCGUGGGGAGCAAACAGGAUUAGAUACCCCCGUAGUCC